RNAcentral lists this ribosomal RNA (712 nucleotides) under uncultured bacterium. RNAcentral describes it as "bacterial SSU rRNA". It matches the Rfam family "Bacterial small subunit ribosomal RNA", at positions 766 to 1490 of the family's 1533-position model. The record is from RNAcentral.
GAGCGAACAGGAUUAGAUACCCUGGUAGUCCACGCCGUAAACGAUGAUCACUCGUUGUUGGCAAUAUAUCGUCAGCGACUGAGCGAAAGCAUUAAGUGAUCCACCUGGGGAGUACGAUCGCAAGAUUGAAACUCAAAGGAAUUGACGGGGGCCCGCACAAGCGGAGGAACAUGUGGUUUAAUUCGAUGAUACGCGAGGAACCUUACCUGGGCUUAAAUGCAGAACGAUGUACCGGGAAACUGGUAUUCCCUUCGGGGCGAACUGCAAGGUGCUGCAUGGCUGUCGUCAGCUCGUGCCGUGAGGUGUCGGGUUAAGUCCCAUAACGAGCGCAACCCCUAUCGUUAGUUGCCAGCGGAUAAUGCCGGGGACUCUAACGAAACUGCCAGUGUAAACUGUGAGGAAGGUGGGGAUGACGUCAAGUCAGCACGGCCCUUAUGUCCAGGGCUACACACGUGUUACAAUGGCCGGUACAGAGGGCAGCUACCUGGUGACAGGAUGCAAAUCUCGAAACCCGGUCCCAGUUCGGAUCGAAGUCUGCAACUCGACUUCGUGAAGGUGGAUUCGCUAGUAAUCGCGCAUCAGCCACGGCGCGGUGAAUACGUUCCCGGGCCUUGUACACACCGCCCGUCAAGCCAUGGAAGCUGGGGGUACCUGAAGUCUGUAACCGUAAGGAGCGGCCUAGGGUAAAACUAGUGACUGGGGCUAAGUCGUA